Potamilus streckersoni is the source of this 73-nucleotide non-coding RNA. The record is from the annotation of a GenBank genome assembly. Lineage: Eukaryota; Metazoa; Mollusca; Bivalvia; Unionida; Unionidae.
GCUCCGGUGGCCUAGUGGGUAGAGCGUCCGCCUCAAAUGCGGGAGGUCGCGGGUUCAAUCCCCGAUCGAGUCA